Molecule: ribosomal RNA, 253 nt
Filed under: uncultured microorganism
Description: partial 16S ribosomal RNA
Rfam family: Bacterial small subunit ribosomal RNA
Source: RNAcentral
UACGUAGGGUGCGAGCGUUAAUCGGAUUUACUGGGCGUAAAGCGUGCGCAGGCGGCCCGUUAAGACAGGUGUGAAAUCCCUGGGCUCAACCUAGGAAUUGCGCUUGUGACUGGCGGGCUCGAGUACGGUAGAGGGGGGUGGAAUUCCUGGUGUAGCAGUGAAAUGCGUAGAGAUCAGGAGGAACACCGAUGGCGAAGGCAGCGCCCUGGGCCUAUACUGACGCUCAUGCACGAAAGCGUGGGGAGCAAACAGG